Molecule: ribosomal RNA, 269 nt
Filed under: uncultured prokaryote
Description: partial 16S ribosomal RNA
Rfam family: Bacterial small subunit ribosomal RNA
Source: RNAcentral
UACGUAGGAGGCAAGCGUUAUCCGGAUUUAUUGGGCGUAAAGAGGGUGUAGGCGGACUUUCAAGUCGGAUGUAAAAUCUCCCGGCUUAACUGGGAGGGACCAUCCGAUACUGUUAGGCUAGAGAGCAGCAGAGGGAGGUGGAAUUCCCGGUGUAGUGGUGAAAUGCGUAGAUAUCGGGAGGAACACCAGUGGCGAAGGCGACCUCCUGGGCUGUUUCUGACGCUGAGACCCGAAGGCGUGGGGAGCAAACAGGAUUAGAUACCCCCGUA